Molecule: unclassified non-coding RNA, 339 nt
Filed under: Zea mays
Lineage: Eukaryota; Viridiplantae; Streptophyta; Magnoliopsida; Poales; Poaceae
Description: misc RNA Zm00001eb351040
Source: RNAcentral
GUCGUGCAGAGGAGCAUGAGGACGAGGGCGAUGAUGGCGGCGACCAGCAGCCCAAGGAGGUCGAUCCCGGCCUCCUCCUGCGCCUCCUUGCUGCAGCACACCUUGCCCAUCGCGCUACUACUUACCUCAGCAGCCGCGCGCCCCUGCCGGCCGACACAACAGAUGAGGAGAGGAGAGGACGGUGGAUGGCUGGCUGGCUGGAGACUGUUAGCGUAUGUGCUUCUCUCACUCGAAAUUUUGUUAUGGUCCUUGGCUUUGAAGGCCACUGCAUGCAGGGUAGUAUGCAGUGGUUGGGGCAUCGCUAUCGCUGUCGUCGCGCCUUCCUCCGGCCAAUCCUAU